Molecule: ribosomal RNA, 467 nt
Filed under: uncultured bacterium
Lineage: Bacteria
Description: partial 16S ribosomal RNA
Rfam family: Bacterial small subunit ribosomal RNA
Source: RNAcentral
ACGAACGCUGGCGGCGUGCUUAACACAUGCAAGUCGAACGGAAAGGCCCUGCUUUUGUGGGGUGCUCGAGUGGCGAACGGGUGAGUAACACGUGAGUAACCUGCCCUUGACUUUGGGAUAACUUCAGGAAACUGGGGCUAAUACCGGAUAGGAGCUCCUGCUGCAUGGCGGGGGUUGGAAAGUUUCGGCGGUUGGGGAUGGACUCGCGGCUUAUCAGCUUGUUGGUGGGGUAGUGGCUUACCAAGGCUUUGACGGGUAGCCGGCCUGAGAGGGUGACCGGCCACAUUGGGACUGAGGUACGGCCCAGACUCCUACGGGAGGCAGCAGUGGGGAAUAUUGCACAAUGGGCGGAAGCCUGAUGCAGCAACGCCGCGUGCGGGAUGACGGCCCUCGGGUUGUAAACCGCUUUCGCCUGUGACGAAGCGUGAGUGACGGUAAUGGGUAAAGAAGCACCGGCUAACUACGUG